GGGCAUGUAGCGCAGUUGGUAGCGCGCUCGCUUAGCAAAUAACUAAUCCAAAGUUGAUUACUUGCGAGAGGUCUUGGGUUCAAUUCCCAACUUGUCCA
Non-coding RNA from Ceratobasidium sp. AG-I, 98 nucleotides. NCBI's taxonomy places the organism in Eukaryota, Fungi, Basidiomycota, Agaricomycetes, Cantharellales, Ceratobasidiaceae. The record is from the annotation of a GenBank genome assembly.